This 116-nucleotide transfer RNA is filed under the name Acidobacteriota bacterium. Its description in RNAcentral is "tRNA-Ala". Lineage: Bacteria; Pseudomonadati; Acidobacteriota. The record is from RNAcentral.
GGGGUUUUUAGUGCUCGAAAUUGGUACAAGGCCGAAUCGAAUCAAUGAGUUUCAUGCGGCGGUACGCAUCGUUCGCAACGAUGAGGUCGUCGGUUCGAUCCCGACUAGCUCCACCA